CACGUAGGGUGCAAGCGUUGUCCGGAAUCAUUGGGCGUAAAGAGCUCGUAGGCGGCUUAGUAAGUCGGGUGUGAAAACCCCAGGCUCAACCUGGGGACGCCACCCGAUACUGCUAUAGCUAGAGUCCAGUAGGGGAGUGUGGAAUUCCCAGUGUAGCGGUGAAAUGCGCAGAUAUUGGGAGGAACACCAGCGGCGAAGGCGGCACUCUGGGCUGGUACUGACGCUGAGGUGCGAAAGCGUGGGGAGCAAACAGG
Molecule: ribosomal RNA, 254 nt
Filed under: uncultured bacterium
Lineage: Bacteria
Description: partial 16S ribosomal RNA
Rfam family: Bacterial small subunit ribosomal RNA
Source: RNAcentral